GGUCGGUCUAUUUCCAAUGAUUAAAAUGUAGUUUGAAUGUUCGAACGGGACUGUUCAUGCACUAAGUCAAUGUUGAAGUGGGUUCGGUAGAUUACCUUUACGGCGCGCUGUUCGUAUGGAUUUAGUAGAAGUUAGCUGGAGGUGGAAGGUCUAGCGGUGUUCGUGCCGUCGAGAGUCCGAUUUUAGUUCCAUGCACUCUACGACAAAGCACUGCUGUCCG
Non-coding RNA from Pelobates cultripes (western spadefoot toad), 220 nucleotides. Lineage: Eukaryota; Metazoa; Chordata; Amphibia; Anura; Pelobatidae. The record is from the annotation of a GenBank genome assembly.